GACGAACGCUGGCGGCGUUCUUAACACAUGCAAGUCUAACGGAAAGGCCCUGCUUUUGUGGGUUGCUCGAGUGGCGAACGGGUGAUUAACACGUGAGUAACCUGCCCUUGACUUUGGGAUAACUUCAGGAAACUGGGGCUAAUACCGGAUAGGAGCUCCUGCUGCAUGGUGUGGGUUGGAAAGUUUCGGCGGUUGGGGAUGGACUCGCGGCUUAUCAGCUUGUUGGUGGGGUAGUGGCUUACCAAGGCUUUGACGGGUAGCCGGCCUGAGAGGGUGACCGGCCACAUUGGGACUGAGAUACGGCCCAGACGCCUACGGGAGGCAGCAGUGGGGAAUAUUGCACAAUGGGCGGAAGCCUGAUGCAGCAACGCCGCGUGCGGGAUGACGGCCUUCGGGUUGUAAACCGCUUUCGCCUGUGACGAAGCGUGAGUGACGGUAAUGGGUAAAGAAGCACCGGCUAACUACGUG
RNAcentral lists this ribosomal RNA (468 nucleotides) under uncultured bacterium. RNAcentral's name for it is "partial 16S ribosomal RNA". It matches the Rfam family "Bacterial small subunit ribosomal RNA", at positions 28 to 507 of the family's 1533-position model. The record is from RNAcentral.